This 2934-nucleotide small RNA is filed under the name Arabidopsis thaliana (thale cress). Its description in RNAcentral is "ATSL164380". Lineage: Eukaryota; Viridiplantae; Streptophyta; Magnoliopsida; Brassicales; Brassicaceae. The record is from RNAcentral.
AAAGAAAAAAACCGAAAACAAAGAGGGAUGCAACACGAAGACUUUCCUGGAGGUCACCCAUCCUAGUACUACUCUCGCCCAAGCACACUUAACUGCGGUGUUCUGAUAGGAUCAAGUGCAUUAGUGCUGGUAUGAUCGCAUCAGUUACUACAUGCAAUGCAAUCAUAUAUAUUCUUUUUUGAAGACUUUAUGAUCCAUUUGCCGUAGGUCCCACCAGCUAUGUAGGAAUACCCUAUCUCGUUUAUAAGAGCUUUGAUACAUGCAAAAUAUUCGAAAACAAUGUCCGAACAUAUAAUUUUUGUCCCGUAAUAUAGCAAAGAUCACGAAAAGGCCAGAAAAAAUACAUUUCGGUCAAAAUUUGGAGUAGAAAAAAAACCCUUCCUCAUUCAUUGGACAGCUCUUUUUGGGCUUUCCGAAAAGGUAUCACAUGCCAAGUUUGGCCUCACGGUCUAAACCUUAUAGACUCAUACAUUUUUCACAAAAAAAAGAAGAGAAAAACCAAAAAAAAGAGUGAUUAAACACGAGGACUUUCCUGGAGGUCACCCAUCCUAGUACUACUCUCGCCCAAGCACGCUUAACUGCGAAGUUCUGAUGGGAUCUGGUGCAUUAGUGCUGGUAUGAUCGCAUCUGUUACUACAUGCAAUGCAAUCGUAUCUAUUCUUUUUUGAAGAUUUUAUGAUUCAUUUACCGUGGGUCCCACCAGCUAUGUAGGAAUAACCUAUCUUAUUUAUAAAAGCUUUGAUACAUGCAAAAUAUUCGAAAACAAUGUCCGAACAUAUAAUGUUCGCCCCAAAAUAUAGCAAAGACCACAAAAAUGCCAUAAAAAGUACAUUAAGGUCAAAAUUUGGAGUAGGAAAAAAAUCAAUAGGAGAAUUCCAUUUUCCUUCCCUCAUUCAUCGGAGAGCUCUCUUUGGGCAUUCCAAAAAGGUAUCACAUGCCAAGUUUGGCCUCACGGUCUAAAAGUUAUAGAGUAAUACAUUUUUAACAAAAACAAAAGAAAAAAACCGAAAACAAAGAGGGAUGCAACACGAAGACUUUCCUGGAGGUCACCCAUCCUAGUACUACUCUCGCCCAAGUACACUUAACUGCGGUGUUCUGAUAGGAUCAAGUGCAUUAGUGCUGGUAUGAUCGCAUCAGUUACUACAUGCAAUGCAAUCAUAUAUAUUCUUUUUUGAAGACUUUAUGAUCCAUUUGCCGUAGGUCCCACCAGCUAUGUAGGAAUACCCUAUCUUGUUUAUAAGAGCUUUCAUACAUGCAAAAUAUUCAAAAACAAUGUCCGAACAUAUAAUUUUUGUCCCGUAAUAUAGCAAAGAUCACGAAAAGGCCAGAAAAAAUACAUUUCGGUCAAAAUUUGGAGUAGAAAAAAAACCCUUCCUCAUUCAUUGGACAGCUCUCUUUGGGCUUUCUGAAAAGGUAUCACAUGCCAAGUUUGGCCUCACGGUCUAAACCUUAUAGACUCAUACAUUUUUCACAAAAAAAAGAAGAGAAAAACCAAAAAAAAGAGUGAUUAAACACGAGGACUUUCCUGGAGGUCACCCAUCCUAGUACUACUCUCGCCCAAGCACGCUUCACUGCGAAGUUCUGAUGGGAUCUGGUGCAUUAGUGCUGGUAUGAUCGCAUCUGUUACUACAUGCAAUGCAAUCGUAUCUAUUCUUUUUUGAAGAUUUUAUGAUUCAUUUACCGUGGGUCCCACCAGAUAGGAAUAACCUAUCUUAUUUAUAAAAGCUUUGAUACAUGCAAAAUAUUCGAAAACAAUGUCCGAACAUAUAAUGUUCGCCCCAAAAUAUAGCAAAGACCACAAAAAUGCAAUAAAAAGUACAUUAAGGUCAAAAUUUGGAGUAGGAAAAAAAUCAAUAGGAGAAUUCCAUUUUCCUUCCCUCAUUUAUCGGAGAGCUCUCUUUGGGCAUUCCAAAAAGGUAUCACAUGCCAAGUUUGGCCUCACGGUCUAAAAGUUAUAGAGUAAUACAUUUUUAACAAAACAAAAAAGAAAAAAACCGAAAACAAAGAGGGAUGCAACACGAAGACUUUCCUGGAGGUCACCCAUCCUAGUACUACUCUCGCCCAAGCACACUUAACUGCGGUGUUCUGAUAGGAUCAAGUGCAUUAGUGCUGGUAUGAUCGCAUCAGUUACUACAUGCAAUGCAAUCAUAUAUAUUCUUUUUUGAAGACUUUAUGAUCCAUUUGCCGUAGGUCCCACCAGCUAUGUAGGAAUACCCUAUCUUGUUUAUAAGAGCUUUGAUACAUGCAAAAUAUACGAAAACAAUGUCCGAACAUAUAAUUUUUGUCCCGUAAUAUAGCAAAAAGGCCAGAAAAAAUACAUUUCGGUCAAAAUUUGGAGUAGAAAAAAAACCCUUCCUCAUUCAUUGGACAGCUCUCUUUGGGCUUUCCGAAAAGGUAUCACAUGCCAAGUUUGGCCUCACGGUCUAAACCUUAUAGGCUCAUACAUUUUUCACAAAAAAAAGAAAAGAAAAACCAAAAAAAAGAGUGAUUAAACACGAGGACUUUCCGGGAGGUCACCCAUCCUAGUACUACUCUCGCCGAAGCACGCUUAACUGCGAAGUUCUGAUGGGAUCUGGUGCAUUAGUGCUGGUAUGAUCGCAUCUGUUACUACAUGCAAUGCAAUCGUAUCUAUUCUUUUUUGAAGAUUUUAUGAUUCAUUUACCGUGGGUCCCACCAGCUAUGUAGGAAUAACCUAUCUUAUUUAUAAAAGCUUUGAUACAUGCAAAAUAUUCGAAAACAAUGUCCGAACAUAUAAUGUUCGCCCCAAAAUAUAGCAAAGACCACAAAAAUGCCAUAAAAAGUACAUUAAGGUCAAAAUUUGGAGUAGGAAAAAAAUCAAUAGGAGAAUUCCAUUUUCCUUCCCUCAUUCAUCGGAGAGCUCUCUUUGGGCAUUCCAAAAAGGUAUCACAUGCCAAGUUUGGCCUCACGGUCUAA